CGCAGGGAGCCACCUGAGGCCCACAGAGGGGCCGGUCUCUGCUCAAGGGGAGCCCAGCCAAGGCCUGGUGCCUAUCAGCCUGAGUCUCUCACAGAUGUUCUGCUCACAUUUUGCACGCCCAGUCCUCAGACAAGAAUGUGCAGAGAAAGGUGACUGCAGAAAAUGAACGCGCCAAGCUUGUCAUACUGCAGAAGGCCUGAAGAAGGCGCUGCUGGUGUCCCUGUUCCUGCCGGCUGCUGCAGGAAGGAGUCGAACCUUCCUUGACAAGACAGAUAUUGCCAGUCAGACAGCCUGUCCUAUUGGCUGCCCGCCAGGCCCCUCACCGAGGGGAAAGACAGUGACUAAGCCCCAUCUUUCAGCCUGAAUUCUUGAACCUCCACCCAGAGGAACCAUCUCUUGGAGAAACAAGAUCUCCUCAUUCUGCAAUGCUGAGGUUUUUAUUUGAUGUAUCAACCCUUCUCCUCUUUCUGAGGCUCCACGGGAGAAAUUUCUCUAUUUUCAGAACCAGCGCUCCCUGUGUUCCUCCCAAGCAGCUGGAGUGCUUUUAUAUUAUGGGCUGUGUGAAUCAAGUGAUGGACCGAGCCUCAUUUUACUGAUUUUUAGAAAGUCAGCCAAAUUCACCUUGGGCAAACUUAAGAACUUAAAUGUCCCAAUGUGAACUUCUUUCAUGGCCUCAUCUGAUCUUUCCUAUUUUGUUUUCUAUUUGUCCUGCUUCCUUCUAGAUAUAUUUAAGAUGUUAUUUUUAUUUCUUUGUGCAUUUAUCUAAGCUCCCUUAAAUCCUUUCAAGACAAGGCAGAUUACAAGUGCAUACAUACAUGAGCAUGAGCACGCAAACCUAUCUACUUCUUAAUAUUGUCUUCCCUUCCCAUCCCUGCCGUGACUACCCCAGACAGGUGCUCACGCAUCACCCUGCUGGUAAAUUCCUGCUUCGGCAUGAUCCCCAGUCCAUCCUCCAUGUAGUUGUCAGGAUAAUCUUUCUAACAUGCAAAUCUCAUGGGGUCAGUCUUCUCAAAAUUCUUCAAUAGUCCUCUCAAACUUCUUUGAGAGAUCUCCCCCUCCACACUGCCUGGCCCCUGCCUGCCUAUCUGUUCAGCCUCAUUUCACAUUCCUCCCUCCCUCUGUAACCUCUAACACGCCCCAUUUGACAUUCCAGAAAUCAAGAAAACACCAGACCAUCUGCUCCCUCCACCCCUGCUUCCCUCAUUCACCCGCCAUACUCAUUCAUCCCUUGAGGCUCGGCUGGAAACAACCUCCUCUGUGAAGCCUUCCUUGACUUCCCAGGUGCACUGUGCUGCUCCAGCUAUAUGACUAACAGGAUGGAAGAGCUUUAGGACCCUACAGACUUGCAUUCAAGUGUCUUCCAAGCUAGAGCUGAAGACAUUAAAAUGUCGCAAGAGAGAGAAAAAUAUGGGGCUUCCAGGCAGGCAGUGAAGGAAGCUGGCUGGGUAAAGGAAGCUGUCUACCCUUUCCCUCAAAUCUUCUCAGGAGAUAGAAUUAAGUCUGUCACUUGAACAUGGGCACAAGGAUUGCAAAAACCCAAAGAAGAAGGAGGACUCCCCCAUUGUUACAGCGGUCAAAGCAAGGACCAAGCACGUCCAUGUGCUUGGUCACCUACUGCCACAGUUUCUGUGUCCAGUUGGGAUUCAGGACAGUAAACAACUUCAGUCCACAUGAGAGUUUCAGUGGAAUGGACCUGAGUUGCUGACUUCGUAACUUCCAGUCUCUUUAGGUAGUAAAUCUGCUUGCCUUGCAACAGUGAUUCUCAAACGGGGGCCCCUGAGCCAACAGCGUCAGUAUCACCUGGAACUUGCGAGAAAUGCAGACUCUCAGGACUCCCCCAGACCCAUGGGUCGGAACGGGGCCCAGCAUCCCUUGUGUCAACAAGCCUCCUGGGAGAGUCCCAUG
Molecule: long non-coding RNA, 1905 nt
Filed under: Equus caballus (horse)
Lineage: Eukaryota; Metazoa; Chordata; Mammalia; Perissodactyla; Equidae
Description: lncRNA (ENSECAG00000055791.1)
Source: RNAcentral